This 344-nucleotide RNase P RNA is filed under the name Paludibacteraceae bacterium. RNAcentral's name for it is "RNase P RNA component class A". It matches the Rfam family "Bacterial RNase P class A". Rfam says of the family: Ribonuclease P (RNase P) is a ubiquitous endoribonuclease, found in archaea, bacteria and eukarya as well as chloroplasts and mitochondria. The record is from RNAcentral. Lineage: Bacteria; Pseudomonadati; Bacteroidota; Bacteroidia; Bacteroidales; Paludibacteraceae.
ACAGUAGGUAAGUUUGUCGCUGGCAUAUUGUCAGAGGAAAGUCCGGGCAACGCAGAGCACCAUACUUCCUAACAGAAAGUUAUCCGUGAGGGUAAGUCACCGUAACAGAAAAUAACCGCCUUCGGGUAAGGGUGAAAAUGUGGGGUAAGAGCCCACGCUCAGUUAUGGUAACAUAAUUGGGGUACGGCCUAUGGGUUGCAAGAUCAUGUAUAUCGACGAUAACAGGGUUGCUCGCCCGAUGUCGAGGGGUAGAUUGCUAGAGGCUGGUGGUGACGCCAGUCGUAGAUUAAUGACAAACAUCUGGUUAACCAGAAACAGAACCCGGCUUAAUACCUACUGUAUUU